UACGUAGGGUGCAGGCGUUGUCCGGAAUUAUUGGGCGUAAAGAGCUCGUAGGCGGUCAGUCGCGUCUGCUGUGAAAACUCGGGGCUUAACUCCGGGCCUGCAGUGGGUACGGGCUGACUAGAGUGCGGUAGGGGAGACUGGAAUUCCUGGUGUAGCGGUGAAAUGCGCAGAUAUCAGGAGGAACACCGGUGGCGAAGGCGGGUCUCUGGGCCGUAACUGACGCUGAGGAGCGAAAGCGUGGGGAGCGAACAGG
Molecule: ribosomal RNA, 253 nt
Filed under: uncultured bacterium
Lineage: Bacteria
Description: partial 16S ribosomal RNA
Rfam family: Bacterial small subunit ribosomal RNA
Source: RNAcentral